Molecule: transfer RNA, 85 nt
Filed under: Streptococcus sanguinis
Lineage: Bacteria; Bacillati; Bacillota; Bacilli; Lactobacillales; Streptococcaceae
Also listed under: 61 other names
Description: tRNA-Tyr
Rfam family: tRNA
About the family: Transfer RNA (tRNA) molecules are approximately 80 nucleotides in length. Their secondary structure includes four short double-helical elements and three loops (D, anti-codon, and T loops).
Source: RNAcentral
GGAGGGAUUCCCGAGCGGCCAAAGGGAGCAGACUGUAAAUCUGCCGUCUUCGACUUCGAAGGUUCGAAUCCUUCUCCCUCCACCA